Molecule: non-coding RNA, 185 nt
Filed under: Lachnospiraceae bacterium C7
Lineage: Bacteria; Bacillati; Bacillota; Clostridia; Lachnospirales; Lachnospiraceae
Description: 6S / SsrS RNA
Rfam family: 6S / SsrS RNA
About the family: E. coli 6S RNA was the first non coding RNA to be sequenced, but its function was unknown until recently. It consists of 184 nucleotides that fold into an extended hairpin structure with a large single-stranded internal bulge.
Source: Rfam by way of RNAcentral
GGCAACCUGAAAUGUUCGAUAAUCCUGUAUAUUUAGAACCUACAUUUACUUUAAACGGGACGCUUAUUAUUACUUGUUAGAUGUCAAGCCUCCGAUUUGCAGUGGAAGGCAGAAGGCAAGUUGCGGUGACCCACCUAGCUUUAGCUAGGAGUCUAAAUUGCGGGAACCGGCAUUUUGGGCCCUUU